AACGAACGCUGGCGGCAUGCCUAACACAUGCAAGUCGAACGAGACCUUCGGGUCUAGUGGCGCACGGGUGCGUAACGCGUGGGAACCUGCCCUUAGGUUCGGAAUAACUCCCCGAAAGGGGUGCUAAUACCGGAUAAUGUCUUCGGACCAAAGAUUUAUCGCCUUUGGAUGGGCCCGCGUUGGAUUAGCUAGUUGGUAGGGUAAAAGCCUACCAAGGCGACGAUCCAUAGCUGGUCUGAGAGGAUGAUCAGCCACACUGGGACUGAGACACGGCCCAGACUCCUACGGGAGGCAGCAGUGGGGAAUAUUGGACAAUGGGCGAAAGCCUGAUCCAGCAAUGCCGCGUGAGUGAUGAAGGCCUUAGUGUUGUAAAGCUCUUUUACCCGGGAUGAUAAUGACAGUACCGGGAGAAUAAGCGCCGGCUAACUCCGUG
This 433-nucleotide ribosomal RNA is filed under the name uncultured bacterium. Its description in RNAcentral is "partial 16S ribosomal RNA". It matches the Rfam family "Bacterial small subunit ribosomal RNA", at positions 29 to 507 of the family's 1533-position model. The record is from RNAcentral.